RNAcentral lists this long non-coding RNA (204 nucleotides) under Olea europaea (common olive). RNAcentral describes it as "long non-coding RNA (OEUR_LNC011071)". Lineage: Eukaryota; Viridiplantae; Streptophyta; Magnoliopsida; Lamiales; Oleaceae. The record is from RNAcentral.
CAAUAGUUGAUCCGGAUCAUGAAUUGAAGAUUGAAGAAUUUGGAGAUCAAAUUCCAUAUUUUGGAAAGUGAAGGACUUGAAUUGAAUCAAAGAAGAAAUGGCUUGCAAGAAUAAAAGGGCUCAAGGAUUGAAUUGCAUUAUCUUGAAAGACGAAGGACUUGAAGAAUAAUUUAAGUAAUAAUGCCUUAAAUUGGUGAUUGAUUG